CUGCCAGCAGCCGCGGUAAUACGUAGGGUUCAAUCUUUAAUCGGAAUUACUGGGCGUAAAGCGUGCGCAGGCGGUUAUAUAAGACAGAUGUGAAAUCCCCGGGCUCAACCUGGGAACUGCAUUUGUGACUGUAUGACUAGAGUACGGCAGAGGGGGAUGGAAUUCCGCGUGUAGCAGUGAAAUGCGUAGAUAUGCGGAGGAACACCGAUGGCGAAGGCAAUCCCCUGGGCCUGUACUGACGCUCAUGCACGAAAGCGUGGGGAGCAAACAGGAUUAGAUACCCUGGUAGUCCACGCCCUAAACGAUGUCAACUGGUUGUUGGGUCUUAACUGACUCAGUAACGAAGCUAACGCGUGAAGUUGACCGCCUGGGGAGUACGGCCGCAAGGUUGAAACUUAAAUAAAUUGACGG
Molecule: ribosomal RNA, 411 nt
Filed under: uncultured bacterium
Lineage: Bacteria
Description: bacterial SSU rRNA
Rfam family: Bacterial small subunit ribosomal RNA
Source: RNAcentral